Molecule: long non-coding RNA, 305 nt
Organism: Vigna angularis (adzuki bean)
Lineage: Eukaryota; Viridiplantae; Streptophyta; Magnoliopsida; Fabales; Fabaceae
Exons: 2
Source: RefSeq, a predicted model, not a curated record
CUUUCUCUCCCACACUUUCUAAUUUAUUUCCCUUUUCAAGCAUGUGCAGAUACACAAGAAGCAGGAGUAGAUGGGACAGUGAGAUCUCGGGAUUGAGUUUUAAUAAAUGGUAUUGAAAUCUGCAACCUCUACAUCUGCUUGCUCCGAGAUCGGCACCACGCCCUUGGAAUUCUCUAUGGUUAUUAAUCACUUCUUUCUGAAUGAUGAAUGGUGUUUUGUUUUGGAAGAUUUUAUAUAUUCUGUAGACAAAUCCCAUAUAACACUAUGUUCUUGUUUCCUUCUGUUACUGGUUUCUCCUUUUGCCA